AACGAACGCUGGCGGCGCGUCUUAACAUGCAAGUCGAACGAUCUGUAGCAAUACAGGGAGUGGCGGACGGGUGAGGAACACGUAGGAAUCUACCUUGAAGAGCGGGACAACUUUGGGAAACCGGGGCUAAUACCGCAUAGUACAGAGAUGUUAAAGGGCUAGCAAUAGUCGCUUCGAGAUGAGCCUGCGGUCUAUCAGCUUGUUGGUGAGGUAAUGGCUCACCAAGGCUACGACGGAUAGCCGGUCUGGAGAGGAUGAUCGGCCACACUGGCACUGAGACACGGGCCAGACUCCUACGGGAGGCAGCAGUUAAGAAUCUUGCGCAAUGGGGGAAACCCUGACGCAGCG
Molecule: ribosomal RNA, 348 nt
Filed under: uncultured bacterium
Lineage: Bacteria
Description: bacterial SSU rRNA
Rfam family: Bacterial small subunit ribosomal RNA
Source: RNAcentral